CUUUCCUGUGUACUUCAUAUCAUCUUCCAAAGCCACAUAUCUCUUCCAGAAAUCACCAAGAACAAUCC
Long non-coding RNA from Neotoma lepida (desert woodrat), 68 nucleotides. It matches the Rfam family "Adaptive response 33 conserved region 2". Lineage: Eukaryota; Metazoa; Chordata; Mammalia; Rodentia; Cricetidae. The record is from Rfam.